Molecule: long non-coding RNA, 1289 nt
Filed under: Heterocephalus glaber (naked mole-rat)
Lineage: Eukaryota; Metazoa; Chordata; Mammalia; Rodentia; Bathyergidae
Description: lncRNA (ENSHGLG00000050134.1)
Source: RNAcentral
CCAGCCCCUAACUCGGCCGGGCCUGCAGAUAGUGCCUCCGUUCGCCCUUCCAGUCAGCUGCGGCCUAACCACCUAACGACAGACAGGCUGAUUUCUAACAUCACAGGUUCGCGUCUAAGAAUGUCGACCCCGAACACAGAACAGGCGGGCCCAUAAGCCCACUGCUCUUUGCUGCGGUGCAGCACUCAGGAGACUGAUAUCGCUCAAGACAUCACCUGUUUAUCAAGUUAAAACUUACUGGAAAUGUUUACUCAUCCAGUGGGACACUCGUGGAGCAAGUUACCUGCAAUCCAAGGUUUCACUGUACGUGAGUUGCAAAUAUUUUCUCCUACUCUGACUUGUGCUCUGUCUAAGCAGUCUUUUGAAGAUUAGAAGCUGUUCAUUUUGGUGAAGUCCAAAUAAUUAAUUUUUUAUUUUAUGGAUUAUCCUUUUGGUGUCUCACCUAAGAAAUCUUUGCUCACUCUCAUGUCAUAAAUAUUUCCUCCUAUGUUUUCUGCUAGAAAUAUUACAAUUUUUUGUCUAUGUUUAGGCCUAAGAGGACACCGGGGGCCUGGCAGGCAACAGGGCCCUGGCCAUCAGCUCCAACAGGGCGCCCCGCUCAUGCACAGACCAGCUACAGUGCCCCAGAGAGAACCCCCGGGGUGGGCAGGACCGGGCGCUCCCAGACAGGCACUCACACAGUGCGCUAUCUCAGCCCAAGCCCCCUUCCCUGAACCUCAGAGCCUGAACUCCUCGGAAAGGUGUCUUCCACGGUUCGGCACUAAGGGGAAACAGCCACGUUGCCCCUUAAGAUCAGUGAAACUGCUCACACUCUUCAAACCAGAACUUCAGAGCGCUCACUCUGCCAGACCCGAGCUGCCCUCCGACGACAGAUAUUAAAACAGUAGAGGCAAAGCCCUUCGGAGCACACAGAGACAGAGAGGUGACGCGCGGUCCGGCCUUCGGGAUGAACUUCCAGGGUGAGAAGCAGCCACGGAGCCUGAGACCCCAGGGGGUGCGCUGAAUGGGCCCAUUCAUGCCUCAAUCCGAAGAAGCCUCUGAAACUGCUUGCUGUGACAUCUACUGAAAUUCCCUUCCAGGCCCUUGCAGACUGUCUCUACACACCCUUCUGUCUACCUACUCAGACUUCGGGCCAGGGACCGAGUUCUUAACUUGAGUCCAGUUUAGGUGGCUGGCACAAAGUACAUGUCCAACAGCCACUCACCGUGACUCGCAUCUCUGGGAAAAGACACCUGUGGAUAUUACCAAUCAUCUCAAAAGGUUCAACGUCCAUUUAAAACAAAGAUACA